RNAcentral lists this ribosomal RNA (742 nucleotides) under uncultured Planctomycetota bacterium. RNAcentral describes it as "bacterial SSU rRNA". It matches the Rfam family "Bacterial small subunit ribosomal RNA", at positions 552 to 1288 of the family's 1533-position model. Lineage: Bacteria; Pseudomonadati; Planctomycetota. The record is from RNAcentral.
AAUUCGCCCUUGAGCACGUAGGUGGGUUUGUAAGUCAGGUGUGAAAGCCUUCUGUUCAACGGGAGAAUUGCAUCUGAAACUACGAAUCUUGAGUGUAGGAGGGGAGAAUGGAACUUCUGGUGGAGCGGUGAAAUACGUAGAUAUCAGAAGGAACGCCGGCGGCGAAAGCGAUUCUCUGGCCUAUUACUGACACUCAGUGUGCGAAAGCUAGGGGAGCAAACGGGAUUAGAUACCCCGGUAGUCCUAGCCGUAAACGAUGGGCACUAAGUAGUGGGAAUUACCGAUGUUCUCUCUGCCGUAGCUAACGCAUUAAGUGCCCCGCCUGGGGAGUACGGCCGCAAGGCUAAAACUCAAAAGAAUUGACGGGGGCUCGCACAAGCGGUGGAGCAUGUGGCUUAAUUCGAUGCAACGCGAAAAACCUUACCGGGGCUUGACAUGUUAGAAGUAGGAACCCGAAAGGGUAACGAACGGUAUCCAGUCCGUAGCUAUCACAGGUGUUGCAUGGCUGUCGUCAGCUCGUGUCGUGAGACGUUGGGUUAAGUCCCCUAACGAGCGAAACCCUUGUUUUUAGUUACCAGCGGGUUGUGCCGGGUACUCUAGAAAGACUGCCGUCGUCAAGACGGAGGAAGGUGGGGAUGACGUCAAGUCAUCGUGGCCCUUAUGCCCCGGGCUGCACACGCGCUACAAUGGUCGGUACAAACGGAAGCGAAGCCGAGAGGUGAAGCGAAUCCAAGGGCGAAUU